AAUUACAACCAUUUCCUAGUGGUCUUAAUGGAUUUGAUACCAUUAUAAAUCCACAUUUAAGUGUGUUUGGGCUAGAUAAGUAUUGGGAUGGAUGACCUCCCGGGAAGUCUUAGUGUUUUUACUU
This is a non-coding RNA of Picea glauca (white spruce), 124 nucleotides long. NCBI's taxonomy places the organism in Eukaryota, Viridiplantae, Streptophyta, Pinopsida, Pinales, Pinaceae. The record is from Rfam.